Nicotiana attenuata is the source of this 569-nucleotide long non-coding RNA. RefSeq lists it as uncharacterized. The record is from RefSeq and is a predicted model, not a curated record. NCBI's taxonomy places the organism in Eukaryota, Viridiplantae, Streptophyta, Magnoliopsida, Solanales, Solanaceae. The transcript has 3 exons.
UUGGCCAAAAGUAAAUCAUCAAAACCUAAACUACGUUCUAAACUCUUCAGCCGCCAAUCCUACCCCUACGUCCCCUUCCCCACUUUUUCAAUUCUUACUUCAACUAUGGAUAAACUAAAAUAUGCGAGAACGACAUAGAAGAAGAGUGAGAGAGAACCUCAUAGAGUGAGUGAAAGUUUGAAGAUUUUGAAGAGGAGCCAUAGUUCGUGAACUGUAACAGCAAAGCAACAUUACAAAUUUGGGAUCAAGAUCCUUUAAGAAGUUUACGAAGUCUACAGGCAAAUUUGACAAAUUAAGACUAAAGCUAAAGUGCAGUUAAGGCGGUGCUAUGUUGGGAAGCGAGGAAGGAGAAGACGGUGCUACUUUGUGUAGAUGGUGUUGUAGAAGAAUUAUAAGUAAUUUGUGGAGUGUAAUUUUUUUUAAUUCUUAGCUACAUUGUAACAAUUCUUAUGUAUAUCUUUUGGAAUCAAAAAUAUUUGAAAUUUUAGCUGCAGGAUGAAAAUUCUGUGACCAAUUAUUUUGUGGCAAAUUUUUCGAUUAUAGCAAUAAAAAUUUAGAAUUCGAGGCUA